Molecule: signal recognition particle RNA, 96 nt
Filed under: Acholeplasmataceae bacterium
Lineage: Bacteria; Bacillati; Mycoplasmatota; Mollicutes; Acholeplasmatales; Acholeplasmataceae
Description: signal recognition particle sRNA small type
Rfam family: Bacterial small signal recognition particle RNA
About the family: The signal recognition particle (SRP) is a universally conserved ribonucleoprotein involved in the co-translational targeting of proteins to membranes. Archaeal SRP consists of a 7S RNA and homologues of the eukaryotic SRP19 and SRP54 proteins.
Source: RNAcentral
UAGGUACCUACAUUCAAUAUCGGGCAGCGAAUCAGGUCAGGUCGUGAUUGAAGCAGCCUUAAGCUAUACCCGGUAUGUGGAUGUAGGUACUUAAGG